GAUGAACGCUGGCGGCGUGCCUAAUACAUGCAAGUCGAACGGAGAUUGUAGCAAUACGGUCUUAGUGGCGAACGGGUGAGUAACGCGUUGGCAACCUGCCCCGAAGUGUGGGAUAACGGUCCGAAAGGGCCACUAAUACCACAUGUGAUCCCGAGGAACAGAUACUUGGGAUGAAAGGAGCGAUUCGCUUCGGGAGGGGCCUGCGUCCCAUCAGCUAGUUGGUAAGGUAACGGCUUACCAAGGCGAUGACGGGUAGGGGACCUGAGAGGGUGGCCCCCCACAAUGGAACUGAAACACGGUCCAUACACCUACGGGUGGCAGCAGUAGGGAAUAUUGGUUAAUGUGCGAAAGCGCGAACCAGCAACGCCGCGUGUGCGAUGAAGGCCUUCGGGUCGUAAAGCACUUUUUGCAGGGAAGAGGAAGGACGGUACCUGCAGAAUAAGUCUCGGCUAACUACGUGCCAGCAGCCGCGGUAAAACGUAGGAGACGAGCGUUAUCCGGAUUUACUGGGCGUAAAGCGCGUGCAGGCGGCAUGGCAAGUUGGAUGUGAAAGCUCCCGGCUUAACUGGGAGAGGUCGUUCAAUACUGCCAGGCUUGAGAGUGGUAGAGGGAAGCGGAAUUCCGGGUGUAGUGGUGAAAUGCGUAGAUAUCCGGAGGAACACCAGUGGCGAAAGCGGCUUCCUGGCCCAUUUCUGACGCUCAGACGCGAAAGCUAGGGUAGCAAACGGGAUUAGAGACCCCGGUAGUC
Molecule: ribosomal RNA, 748 nt
Filed under: uncultured Chloroflexota bacterium
Lineage: Bacteria; Bacillati; Chloroflexota
Description: bacterial SSU rRNA
Rfam family: Bacterial small subunit ribosomal RNA
Source: RNAcentral